RNAcentral lists this ribosomal RNA (253 nucleotides) under uncultured bacterium. Its description in RNAcentral is "partial 16S ribosomal RNA". It matches the Rfam family "Bacterial small subunit ribosomal RNA", at positions 524 to 776 of the family's 1533-position model. The record is from RNAcentral.
UACGUAGGCAGCAAGCGUUGUUCGGAGUUACUGGGCGUAAAGGGUGCGUAGGCGGUUGUUUAAGUUUGGUGUGAAAUCUCCCGCUCAACUGGGAGGGUGCGCCGAAUACUGAAUGACUAGAGUGCGGGAGAGGAGAGUGGAAUUCCUGGUGUAGCGGUGAAAUGCGUAGAUAUCAGGAGGAACACCGGUGGUGUAAACGGCUUUCUGGACCAUAACUGACGCUGGAGGCACGAAAGCGUGGGUAGCAAACAGG